UACAGAGGUCUCAAGCGUUGUUCGGAUUCAUUGGGCGUAAAGGGUGCGUAGGCGGCGCGGUAAGUCGGGUGUGAAAUCUUGGAGCUUAACUCCGAAACUGCAUUCGAUACUGCCGUGCUUGAGGACUGGAGAGGAGACUGGAAUUUACGGUGUAGCGGUGAAAUGCGUAGAUAUCGUAAGGAAGACCAGUGGCGAAGGCGGGUCUCUGGACAGUUCCUGACGCUGAGGAGCGAAAGUGUGGGGAGCGAACAGG
This 253-nucleotide ribosomal RNA is filed under the name uncultured bacterium. RNAcentral describes it as "partial 16S ribosomal RNA". It matches the Rfam family "Bacterial small subunit ribosomal RNA", at positions 524 to 776 of the family's 1533-position model. The record is from RNAcentral.